Molecule: ribosomal RNA, 305 nt
Filed under: uncultured bacterium
Lineage: Bacteria
Description: bacterial SSU rRNA
Rfam family: Bacterial small subunit ribosomal RNA
Source: RNAcentral
ACCUACGGGGGGCAGCAGUAGAGAAUUUUCGUCAAUGGGCGCAAGCCUGAACGAGCAAUGCCGCGUGAACGAGGAAGGUCUUCGGAUCGUAAAGUUCUGUUGAAGGGGAAAAAGAGCGGAGAGAGGAAAUGGUCUCCGAUUGAUAUUACCCUUCGAGGAAGUCACGGCUAACUACGUGCCAGCAGCCGCGGUAAUACGUAGGUGGCGAGCGUUAUCCGGAAUGAUUGGGCGUAAAGGGUGCGUAGGCGGCCUGCUAAGUCUGGAGUGAAAGGUACCGGCUCAACCGGUACAGGCUCUGGAAACUG